RNAcentral lists this ribosomal RNA (115 nucleotides) under Staphylococcus warneri. The record is from RNAcentral. RNAcentral also lists the same sequence under 1 other name. Lineage: Bacteria; Bacillati; Bacillota; Bacilli; Caryophanales; Staphylococcaceae.
UCUGGUGACAAUGGUAAGGAGGUCACACCUGUUCCCAUGCCGAACACAGAAGUUAAGCUCCUUAGCGCCGAUGGUAGUCGGACUAACGUUCCGCUAGAGUAGGACGUUGCCAGGC